ACUGAGUGCAGUGUUGUGUGUCUGUGGUCCCAGCUACUCAGGAGGCUGACACGGGAGGGUUGCUUGAGCCCAGGAUUUCUGGGCUAUAGCCUAGAUCAGCGCUGUGCUGAUCAGAUGUCCACACUAAGUUCAUAUGGUGACCUCCCAGGAGUGGGUAACCACCAGAUUGCCUAAGGAAGGGUAAACCGGCCCAUGUCGGAAAUGUGCAGGUCAGAACGCCCGUGCUGAUCAGUGAUGGGAUCACACCUGUGAAUAGCUGCUACACUCUAGCCUGGGCAAUAUAGCGAGACCCACCUCU
Molecule: signal recognition particle RNA, 298 nt
Filed under: Cercocebus atys (sooty mangabey)
Lineage: Eukaryota; Metazoa; Chordata; Mammalia; Primates; Cercopithecidae
Description: Metazoan signal recognition particle RNA (ENSCATG00000017745.1)
Rfam family: Metazoan signal recognition particle RNA
About the family: The signal recognition particle (SRP) is a universally conserved ribonucleoprotein.
Source: RNAcentral